UACGUAGGGUGCAGGCGUUAAUCGGAAUUACUGGGCGUAAAGCGUGCGCAGGCGGUUAUGUAAGACAGAUGUGAAAUGCCCGGGCUUAACCUGGGAACUGCAUUUGUGACUGCAUGGCUAGAGUGUGUCAGAGGGGGGUAGAAUUCCACGUGUAGCAGUGAAAUGCGUAGAUAUGUGGAGGAAUACCGAUGGCGAAGGCAGCCCCCUGGGAUAAC
RNAcentral lists this ribosomal RNA (215 nucleotides) under uncultured bacterium. RNAcentral describes it as "partial 16S ribosomal RNA". It matches the Rfam family "Bacterial small subunit ribosomal RNA", at positions 524 to 738 of the family's 1533-position model. The record is from RNAcentral.